Molecule: unclassified non-coding RNA, 409 nt
Filed under: Hevea brasiliensis (rubber tree)
Lineage: Eukaryota; Viridiplantae; Streptophyta; Magnoliopsida; Malpighiales; Euphorbiaceae
Source: RNAcentral
CCAGCCUUCAGGUGCACAUGGCCUAAAUAAAACCUGAACCCAUUCUUGAGAUAUUCCAGGUCUCCCUUGGCCAUCAUCUACCUCAGAUUCCUUUGCUAGUCCUUACUUUUUGCCUCCAUAUGAGAAUCUCAAAAGUUCUUUGUUCAUAGUCACGCUUCAUACCUCUGGCAAGUAUUUCUUUACNNNAUAAGACAGGGACGUGUUGUACCAGUUCUGACUGAAGAAUACAUAUUGACACUAUGAACUCUACCAAAGAGUAGCCAACUAACUGUCUAACUAAAGGUGUAGCUCACAACCAUCUACCCAGAAAUUAUUCAUUGCAUUUGUAACAUAAAUGAUCGAAGAGAAAAUAAGUAGAAAAUAAAAAAAUUUGGAGAACAGACUGUUGAUGCAGAUCUUGAAAACUGAA